AAACCAGCACCUCAAGUGGUCAGGAGGAUUAUUGGGCCUAAAGCAUCCGUAGCCGGCUCUGUAAGUUUUCGGUUAAAUCUGUACGCUCAACGUACAGGCUGCUGGGAAUACUGCAGAGCUAGGGAGUGGGAGAGGUAGACGGUACUCGGGAGGAAGUGGUAAAAUGCUUUGAUCUCUCGAUGACCACCUGUGGCGAAGGCGGUCUACCAGAACACGUCCGACGGUGAGGGAUGAAAGCUGGGGGAGCAAACCGGAUUAGAUACCCGAGUAGUCC
RNAcentral lists this ribosomal RNA (274 nucleotides) under uncultured bacterium. Its description in RNAcentral is "partial 16S ribosomal RNA". It matches the Rfam family "Archaeal small subunit ribosomal RNA", at positions 473 to 747 of the family's 1478-position model. The record is from RNAcentral.